Molecule: long non-coding RNA, 1409 nt
Filed under: Sus scrofa (pig)
Lineage: Eukaryota; Metazoa; Chordata; Mammalia; Artiodactyla; Suidae
Description: lncRNA (ENSSSCG00055021080.1)
Source: RNAcentral
AAAAAAAAAAAAAAAAAAAAAAGAAGGUUGAAGGAGUUCCCUUUGUGGCACAGCGGACGUGAAUCUUACUAGGAACCCUAAGGUUGCGGGUUCGAUCCCUGGCCUUGCUUAGUGCGUUAAGGAUCCAGCCAUGAGCUGUGGUGUGGGUCACAGACACGGCUCAGAUCCUGCAUUGCUGUAGCUGUGGUGGAGGCCAGCAGCUGUAGCUCUGAUUGGACCCCGAGCCUGGGAACCCCCAUGUGCCACGGAUGUGGCCCUAAAAAGCAAAACAAUCAAACAAAAAGUGGCGACAUUUCAUCCAAGACCUGAAUGAAAGGAGGCAGGACCGUGCCUGGACGGUUCAGGGGGCAGCAGGGUAUGCGAGCAUGGCUGGAAGCCAGCGGACGGCAGGGGUGUUGCCGAGGGGCUCGCAGUCAUUGGUGAGGAAGACAUGAGAGGGUUUGAGCCAGAGCGAUGCAAGGUCAUGGCUUUUUUACAUUUUCAAAUUAGAAAAAUUAUUUUUAAAAAAUUUUAUUGGAGUAUAGUUGACUUACAGGGUUGUAUUAGUUUCAGGUGUAUAGCAGAGUGAAUCAGUUAUAUAUAUAUAUAUAUACACACACGUAUAUAUCCAUUCUUUUCCCCAUGCAGGUUAUUACAGAAUAUUGAGUAGAAUGCCCUGUGCUAUGCAGUAGGUCCUUGUUACAUAUCUAUUUUAUCUACAGUAGUGUGUAUAUGUUUACCCUGCACCCCUAAUUUAUUCCUUCCCACCACAGUUUCCACUUGGGUUACCCUGAGAUUUCAAAAUCUGUGAGUUUUCUUCUGUUCUAUAACUAAGUUCUUUUGUAUCAUUUUUAUUAAAUAAGUGAUAUCCUAUAAUAUUUGUCUUUCUCCCUUGUAUUUCACCUAGUAUGAUAAUCUCUAGGUCCAGCCAUAUUGCUGCAAAUGGCAUUAUUUCAUUUUUUAUGGCCAAGUAAUACUCCAUUAAGAUUUUUUUUUAAAAAACGUGAUCACUGUGCUUUGGUGUUACACACGGGCUGUGUUGAUUCGUUGCCACGUUUUCAAGGUACCAGGCCUCUUAGUGUUAAGGAAAAACAGCUGUCGCCACUGUCUUUGUGGAGCUUCAGCUGAAGGUGGAAGAUGGAUGGACCCAAAGAAACACCAGUGUAAGUGUGAAAUAAUGGAAAGUGGUAUCAGAAAGUACACGGUUGGAGUUCCCGUCGUGGCUCAGCAGUUACCGAACCUGACUAGUAUCCAUGAGGGCACAGGUCGAUCCCAGGCCUUGCUCCGUGGGUUAAGGAUCUGGUGUUGGCGUGAGCUGUGGUGUAGGUCAGAGACACAGCUUGGAUCCUGUGUGGCUGUGGUGUAGGCCGGCGGGUACAGAUUGGAUUCAACCGCUAGCCUGGGAGUCUCCAUAUGCUGCAGGUGUGGCC